Styela clava is the source of this 493-nucleotide non-coding RNA. Lineage: Eukaryota; Metazoa; Chordata; Ascidiacea; Stolidobranchia; Styelidae. The record is from RefSeq and is a predicted model, not a curated record.
AAAGCGUCUCGUCAGGAGCUUUGGGUCUUCGCAAAUAACAACAAUAAAUGAAUUGUUGAAAAUCUCUAUUUGCAUUCAAUCAUAUUUUGACAAUGGCGAAUAUAAGUGUAUUUCUUCAUUUUGUGAUUGCAUUGACGUUCCUUACAAUUCUAUUCUCCUUGGAAGUGACUGCGAGAAUCAUCCCGACCCGGGGAAUUUCUGAUAUAGAUACACUGCUCAGCUUUGUCAAUUCUGGAGGAAAGUGAACAUCGAUUAUCAUCAUGCAUCUUCAAUGUUCUUGUAUUAUUCUGAAUCUUAUAACUGAAUCUUAUAACUACGGAAAAUAUAUUUGUAUGUAUGUAUGUGUGAAUAUGGUAAUUACUGGAUUCAAAUAAAUCAUCACAUUAAAAACUAAAUACUGAAAAAAAAUCAUUUUCGCAUACUUAAUAUGACUAAUUUUGUCGCAAGAAAAUCAUUUCCUUAUUUCUUAUUUAUGGUCAAUAUUUUUGUCAAG